CAACAAUGGUGGUGGCUGUGUUCCAGAGUGAAGUUGGUGUCACGGCAACCUGGAAUGCAGACCAGAAGGGCAGUGCCAGCAAGAGAUCACCCCGGGGUAAAAGAGUGAGCAAGGGCUGUGGUGGGUAAGAGCAGCCCAUGGGGAUGGACAGCGGCUACUCCUCCCCCACCUCACAGCCACACACAGGGACAGGGACACAGCAGGACAGUGAGACACUCCUGUUCUCACCUGCAUUCAUAUCCUGACAAGAGGGCCAAGCACUGCAGGACAGAUGGACUUCUUGGCACUGACAGAACCAGGCCUCCCCAGCCACCACCAAGCAACCCAUGUCUGCUCCUGGACAAGGCACAAAGUGAAGCAUGAGGAGAGCACACGCCCCGCCAUGAAAUGCACUGUGGUCCUACAGGAUCUGAGGAUCUGCAUGGCAUGGACAGAGGCAGCUCCACAGCACCUUCCAGCUACAGACCCCUCCAUGGACGUACACACACACACACAGACAUGCUCUACCGACAUAAUCAGCUCACCUUAGAAUGGAGUCAGGACCUUGAAUAUGGCACUCAUCAGCAUCUGAAGAAACCAUAUGGACUGUCUACAAUUGAGCUUUAAAUAUAUGGAAGGAAUAAGAAGGUAAAAAAGGAUGGAUGGACCCAACCCAGAAAUAGCAGAGACACCAUAUCCAGAAGAGAAGGCAAGCCCUGUAACUGAGCAUGCUCCUGAUGCCAGAGAUGAAAGUUUAGAAGCGAUGAAGAUUGACAGCCUUCUUCUCUCAACCCCCAGAUGACCACCAAGAAGCUACAACAGAAAAAAAAAAAAAAAAAGAAAAAAAAAAAAACCCUUCAAAUUAAAAUUUCUGAUCCAUUAAACCCCUGGUGCUUCUUCCAUCUCAUGACAUCUAUAGUGCCAACUUUUUUUUGGGGGGGGGGAGGGGUUGCUCCUUAUUGUCAUCAUCACCUUCAAUUUAUGCAUUUGUAUACCAAAGAAUGACA
This 986-nucleotide long non-coding RNA is filed under the name Gallus gallus (chicken). RNAcentral's name for it is "lncRNA (ENSGALG00010014085.1)". The record is from RNAcentral. Lineage: Eukaryota; Metazoa; Chordata; Aves; Galliformes; Phasianidae.